Molecule: ribosomal RNA, 461 nt
Filed under: uncultured bacterium
Lineage: Bacteria
Description: partial 16S ribosomal RNA
Rfam family: Bacterial small subunit ribosomal RNA
Source: RNAcentral
CUACGGGCUGCAGCAGUCGAGAAUCUUCCGCAAUGGACGAAAGUCUGACGGAGCGACGCCGCGUGCGGGAUGAAGGCCUUCGGGUUGUAAACCGCUGUCGGUGGGGAGGAAAUGCAUCAGGGUUCUCCCUGGUGUUUGACCGAUCCGCAGAGGAAGCGCAGGCUAAGUUCGUGCCAGCAGCCGCGGUAACACGAACUGCGCGAACGUUAUUCGGAAUCACUGGGCUUAAAGAGUUCGUAGGCAGCCUUUCAAGUCGGGUGUGAAAUCCCUCGGCUCAACCGAGGAAUUGCGCCUGAUACUGUUGGGCUUGAGGGGGAUAGGGGUGAGCGGAACUGAUGGUGGAGCGGUGAAAUGCGUUGAUAUCAUCAGGAACACCGGUGGCGAAGGCGGCUCACUGGAUCUCUUCUGACGCUGAGGAACGAAAGCUAGGGGAGCGAACGGGAUUAGAUACCCCGGUAGUC